CGGCUCUCUCUCCUGCUCCCUCCCAUGGCCGGCGCUUGGCCCCCAGCUCGCCACGCCCUGGACUCCCUGGCCACCGCGCCUUUGCUCCUCCCUGCUCGGCCUCCAACGGCGGCCUCCCUGCCGACGCGCCCCCGACGCCGCGCUGAGCUCUCUGCGCCACGGUUCUCCCUCAACACGCCCCAACCGAGCUCGCCGGCUUCUCCUCCGCGCGCCUUGCUCGCCCUAUGCCGCGCGCUCCUCCCUUGCCGCGUCUCUAUGGUGCCAUACGCUGGCCGCAACUCGUAGCUUCACGCUCGUCUUCCUCCCUGAGUCCCUUUCCUAUGCUCACCAUGGCCGUCGCGCCUGCUUCCCCUACUCGGAUUUAGUCCGUGCCCUGGGCUCCCAUGGCGUGCCCGACUCCAGCUCCAGCGCGCAGCCGAACUCCCCUACGCAGCGCGUUCCUCCCUGUCUCUCCCUCCUCUGGCCAUGGAUGCUUAGGAGCAGUAGUAGCCCUAGCUCGGCAACACCAAUAGGCUCCCUGGAACCAGCACCCUGCUCCCUGUUGCCAUGAGCUCCUGCUCGGAUUCUGCCCAGCUCGCCCCUGCCUAUGUCGCGCGGGUUUCUCUGACCCCGGCGUUGUCGUUUCAGUUGACCACACCGGCUGCGCAGUGGAAGCGUGGUGGGCGCGAGGGUCGGGGACUGGCCGAUUGUCGAUCUCCUAUUUGCCUUGGACAGUGCCUCGACGCCCCAUCAUAGUAGCCCGUCGGGGAACUCUAGUGUUUGACGUUAAUUCUCGGUCGUCUUCAACUUUGUCUUGCCGUCGUCGUUCAGUCGUCCCGUCUCGAUGCCGGUCUCUACGUGAUGCCUCCGAAUUGUGAUCACGCGAACAAAAGAAUCCCCAAGAGAAGAUGUCCAAAGAUUGGAUGGUGGUGUGCGUGAAGUUCGUGUAGCACCUGCUAUGCGCUCGACAAAUUGUUUGAAUCGGAAAAUCAUUACCGAUCUCGAGGAUUCGAGUCAGCCAUUGGAACGGUAAGCUGAUUUGAUAUUCUUAUUGACUGGUCUGAUGAAUGGAUUGGUUGAAUUAGUUGUUCAUGAAGAUUGUUUUAUUCUUAGCACAGGUGCGUUGUCGAGGUAUUAGAUGUAUGUCGUGAUGCCUCGCUUCAUGCAUCAAUGGAGUGUGUACAUAAGUAUGAAGUGGUCGUGUCACGCGAAACUCAAGUUUAAAAUGAUUAUUGUGUGAGGAGUGGUUAAGUGAAUAAUAAGUUUAGUGUCUCGCUCAUAUAGCUGAU
Long non-coding RNA from Zea mays, 1268 nucleotides. RefSeq lists it as uncharacterized. The record is from RefSeq and is marked validated. NCBI's taxonomy places the organism in Eukaryota, Viridiplantae, Streptophyta, Magnoliopsida, Poales, Poaceae. The transcript has a single exon.